RNAcentral lists this ribosomal RNA (466 nucleotides) under uncultured bacterium. RNAcentral's name for it is "partial 16S ribosomal RNA". It matches the Rfam family "Bacterial small subunit ribosomal RNA", at positions 31 to 507 of the family's 1533-position model. The record is from RNAcentral.
GAGGAAAGCUGGGGGCGUGCUUAACACAUGCAAGUCGAACGGAAAGGCUCCUGCUUGCAGGGGUACUCGAGUGGCGAACGGGUGAGUAACACGUGGGUGAUCUGCCCUGCACUUCGGGAUAAGCCUGGGAAACUGGGUCUAAUACCGGAUAGGACGAUGGUUUGGAUGCCAUUGUGGAAAGUUUUUUCGGUGUGGGAUGAGCUCGCGGCCUAUCAGCUUGUUGGUGGGGUAAUGGCCUACCAAGGCGUCGACGGGUAGCCGGCCUGAGAGGGUGUACGGCCACAUUGGGACUGAGAUACGGCCCAGACUCCUACGGGAGGCAGCAGUGGGGAAUAUUGCACAAUGGGCGCAAGCCUGAUGCAGCGACGCCGCGUGGGGGAUGACGGCCUUCGGGUUGUAAACUCCUUUCGCUAGGGACGAAGCGCAAGUGACGGUACCUGGAGAAGAAGCACCGGCUAACUACGUG